CUACGUGCCAGCAGCCGCGGUAAUACGGAAGGUCCGGGCGUUAUCCGGAUUUAUUGGGUUUAAAGGGAGUGUAGGCGGUCUGUUAAGCGUGUUGUGAAAUUUAGGUGCUCAACAUUUAACUUGCAGCGCGAACUGUCAGACUUGAGUACACGCAGCGCAGGCGGAAUUCAUGGUGUAGCGGUGAAAUGCUUAGAUAUCAUGAGGAACUCCGAUCGCGAAGGCAGCCUGCGGGAGUGUUACUGACGCUUAAGCUCGAAGGUGCGGGUAUCGAACAGGAUUAGAUACCCUGGUAGUCCGCACAGUAAACGAUGGAUGCCCGCUGUUGGUACCUGGUAUCAGCGGCUAAGCGAAAGCAUUAAGCAUCCCACCUGGGGAGUACGCCGGCAACGGUGAAACUCAAAGGAAUUGACGGGGGCCCGCACAAGCGGAGGAACAUGUGGUUUAAUUCGAUGAUACGCGAGGAACCUUACCCGGGCU
RNAcentral lists this ribosomal RNA (477 nucleotides) under uncultured bacterium. Its description in RNAcentral is "bacterial SSU rRNA". It matches the Rfam family "Bacterial small subunit ribosomal RNA", at positions 501 to 981 of the family's 1533-position model. The record is from RNAcentral.